GAUGUCAAAUCAUCAUGCCCCUUACGCCUUGGGCUUCACACGUGCUACAAUGGUCUUUACAAAGUGAAGCAAUACUGCGAAGUGGAGCGAACCACAAAAAAGACCCCAGUUCGGAUUGUAGGCUGCAACUCGCCUGCAUGAAGUUGGAAUCGCUAGUAAUCGCGGAUCAGCAUGCCGCGGUGAAUACGUUCCCGGGCCUU
RNAcentral lists this ribosomal RNA (200 nucleotides) under uncultured prokaryote. RNAcentral describes it as "partial 16S ribosomal RNA". It matches the Rfam family "Bacterial small subunit ribosomal RNA", at positions 1181 to 1382 of the family's 1533-position model. The record is from RNAcentral.